This 468-nucleotide ribosomal RNA is filed under the name uncultured bacterium. RNAcentral describes it as "partial 16S ribosomal RNA". It matches the Rfam family "Bacterial small subunit ribosomal RNA", at positions 28 to 507 of the family's 1533-position model. The record is from RNAcentral.
GACGAACGCUGGCGGCGUGCUUAACACAUGCAAGUCGAACGGAAAGGCCCUGCUUUUGUGGGGUGCUCGAGUGGCGAACGGGUGAGUAACACGUGAGUAACCUGCCCUUGACUUUGGGAUAACUUCAGGAAACUGGGGCUAAUACCGGAUAGGAGCUCCUGCUGCAUGGUGGGGGGUGGAAAGUUUCGGCGGUUGGGGAUGGACUCGCGGCUUAUCAGCUUGUUGGUGGGGUAGUGGCUUACCAAGGCUUUGGCGGGUAGCCGGCCUGAGAGGGUGACCGGCCACAUUGGGACUGAGAUACGGCCCAGACUCCUACGGGAGGCAGCAGUGGGGAAUAUUGCACAAUGGGCGGAAGCCUGAUGCAGCAACGCCGCGUGCGGGAUGACGGCCUUCGGGUUGUAAACCGCUUUCGCCUGUGACGAAGCGUGAGUGACGGUAAUGGGUAAAGAAGCACCGGCUAACUACGUG